This 422-nucleotide ribosomal RNA is filed under the name uncultured bacterium. RNAcentral describes it as "bacterial SSU rRNA". It matches the Rfam family "Bacterial small subunit ribosomal RNA", at positions 355 to 774 of the family's 1533-position model. The record is from RNAcentral.
UAAGGAAUAUUGGACAAUGGAGACAACUCUGAUCCAGCCAUGCCGCGUGAAGGAAUAAGGCCCUAUGGGUUGUAAACUUCUUUUAGACGGGACAAAACCCCUUUACGUGUAAAGGGUUGAUGGUACUGUCAGAAUAAGCAUCGGCUAACUUCGUGCCAGCAGCCGCGGUAAUACGAAGGAUGCAAGCGUUAUCCGGAAUUAUUGGGUUUAAAGGGUGCGUAGGCGGACUAAUAAGUCAGUGGUGAAAGCCUGCAGCUUAACUGCAGAAUUGCCAUUGAUACUGUUAGUCUUGAGUACAGUUGAGGUAGGCGGAAUGUGUCAUGUAGCGGUGAAAUGCUUAGAUAUGACACAGAACACCGAUUGCGAAGGCAGCUUGCUAAGCUGUAACUGACGCUGAGGCACGAAAGCGUGGGGAGCAAACA